GGGGAGAUAGGUCAGUGUCAGAGUAUCUGCCUAGCAUGCAGAAGGCCCUGGGUUUGAUCCCCAGCCCCA
Molecule: transfer RNA, 69 nt
Filed under: Heterocephalus glaber (naked mole-rat)
Lineage: Eukaryota; Metazoa; Chordata; Mammalia; Rodentia; Bathyergidae
Rfam family: tRNA
About the family: Transfer RNA (tRNA) molecules are approximately 80 nucleotides in length. Their secondary structure includes four short double-helical elements and three loops (D, anti-codon, and T loops).
Source: Rfam by way of RNAcentral